RNAcentral lists this ribosomal RNA (200 nucleotides) under uncultured organism. Its description in RNAcentral is "partial small subunit ribosomal RNA". It matches the Rfam family "Bacterial small subunit ribosomal RNA", at positions 1182 to 1382 of the family's 1533-position model. The record is from RNAcentral.
ACGUCAAGUCCUCAUGGCCCUUAUGGGCUGGGCUACACACGUGCUACAAUGGCGGUGACAGAGGGAAGCGACGGGGCGACCCUGAGCUGAUCCCCAAAAGCCGUCUUAGUGCGGAUUGCACGCUGCAACUCGCGUGCAUGAAGGCGGAAUCGCUAGUAAUCGCGGAUCAGCAUGCCGCGGUGAAUACGUUCCCGGGCCUU